Molecule: long non-coding RNA, 1208 nt
Filed under: Mytilus galloprovincialis (Mediterranean mussel)
Lineage: Eukaryota; Metazoa; Mollusca; Bivalvia; Mytilida; Mytilidae
Source: RNAcentral
CCAGCAAUGACUACAAUAAAAUGUAAACAAACAUUUCAAGAAAUAUAUUUUUUCUGGUCUAUCUAAAUGCCCAAACCAUAUUUCUAACUUGAUUUCUGAAUAAUACAUUAUAAUUUGCUAUUCAUGCCUGUCCAUAACUUUUCAAACUGUGAGUACUAAUUUUACAACUAUUAUAACUAUGAUUCAUUCAAGACACCUUUUAAAAGUCAUCAUUAAAAAUUUAAUAGAUACAAUAGUUUAAAACAAAAAUAAACAAAAUACAACAGAAAACGCCCACUACAAGCUAUUAUCAAACAGAUCUUAGUCAAAAGAUAUUGUACAGAGUAUAAAAUAAAACCAUCCAGAUUAAAUGACAUUGAAACAAUCACUAACAAAAAUGUGAUUACUUUAAAAAAAAAAUGUAUUUUCAAUUUCAUGAGCAUUUGCAGUUAUAUCUUGGCUGCAAAAGGGGAAAAUAAUAUUAUAGAUUUUUUUAUUACCAGUCAUUGACAAAUUCUAGUUUGUCAUGCUUUCUUAACAGAAGUUUGUUUAUCUAAAUGGUUUUGAGAACCGAUAUACUGUUGCAAUAAUGAUUUAUUAUACAAUUGAAAGGUUGUUUAAAGUUAAUGAUUAUUUUUUAAUACAUAUCACUGACUAAAGUAUUGUUGUUAAAAUGGCAAGCAUUUAAGAGAUGUUUUUAAAAACUAAUUUAAAUUUUGUUGGCACACAUGAUUACUUGCUAAGACAAGGCUUUAUAAAAAUAACAAGUUUUGAAAGUUUUGAAUUUUAAAUCAUGUUUUCUUUUGUGUAUUCCCAUGAGACAGUUUAUUCUUUGAAAUAAAUGUUUUCGCUGUGAGAGGAAUCAAAUAAUUACCUCUACUACGACAUCUAUUUAACUAUUUCAUCACUAAAUAUUCAUUGAGAAUAAUUUAAAUCUGAUUGUCUCUCUUUAAGACUUGUUUUGUUGUGAUCUAUAUUGUAAGCUAUAUUUCAAUGCAUAUCUGUCAAACAACAGAAACCCAAGGAGAUUCUGUUCAUAGUAUUGAAUUACAAAACUGUUUACAUCAACAUAUUGACUAAAUAUCAAAAAUAUUUAAAACAGGUGAUCAGGCUUAUAAUAGUUGUAUAUAUCUCAACCAUAUUAUAAGAAUUCAUUCACAAGUUAUUUCAAAUCUCACAAGAAAAUAUAACAUAAAUAUGGAGAAAAAUAUUCUCUCUCUUUAAAGAAA